CCUACGGGAGGCAGCAGUGAGGAAUAUUGGUCAAUGGGCGCGAGCCUGAACCAGCCAAGUAGCGUGAAGGAUGACUGCCCUACGGGUUGUAAACUUCUUUUAUACAGGAAUAAAGUGAGGCACGUGUGCCUUUUUGUCUGUACUUUAUGAAUAAGGAUCGGCUAACUCCGUGCCAGCAGCCGCGGUAAUACGGAGGAUCCGAGCGUUAUCCGGAUUUAUUGGGUUUAAAGGGAGCGUAGAUGGGUUGUUAAGUCAGUUGUGAAAGUUUGCGGCUCAACCUUAAAAUUGCAAUUGAUACUGGCAGCCUUGAGUACAGUUGAGGGAGGCGGAAUUCGUGGUGUAGCGGUGAAAUGCUUAGAUAGCACGAAGAACGCCGAUUGCGAAGGCAGCUUACUAAACUGCCACUGACAUUGAUGCUCGAAAGUGUGGGUAUCGAACAGGAUUAGAUACCCGUGUAGUC
Molecule: ribosomal RNA, 460 nt
Filed under: uncultured bacterium
Lineage: Bacteria
Description: partial 16S ribosomal RNA
Rfam family: Bacterial small subunit ribosomal RNA
Source: RNAcentral